AAUCUGCCUUGUUGUGGGGGAUAACGUAGGGAAACUUACGCUAAUACCGCAUAAGACCUUAGGGUGAAAGCGGAGGACCUUCGGGCUUCGCGCGACAAGAUGAGCCGAUGUCGGAUUAGCUAGUUGGCGGGGUAAAGGCCCACCAAGGCGACGAUCCGUAGCUGGUCUGAGAGGAUGAUCAGCCACACUGGAACUGAGACACGGUCCAGACUCCUACGGGAGGCAGCAGUGGGGAAUAUUGGACAAUGGGCGCAAGCCUGAUCCAGCCAUGCCGCGUGUGU
Molecule: ribosomal RNA, 281 nt
Filed under: uncultured bacterium
Lineage: Bacteria
Description: partial 16S ribosomal RNA
Rfam family: Bacterial small subunit ribosomal RNA
Source: RNAcentral